AAGGAUCAUUACCGAGAUAGGGGCUCCGGCCCCGAACCUCCAACCCGUGUGCACCCACCCUCGUUGCUUUGACGGGGCCACGCCCAGGCUGGCUCGGCACCCCUUCAGCGGGGUCCACCCGUCACGAGCCCAUGACAACCCCCCUAUCGGUGACGUCUGAGCGACCGAGCAACCAUUCAAAACUUUCAACAACGGAUCUCUUGGUUCUGGCGUCGAUGAAGAACGCAGCGAAAUGCGAUAAGUAAUGUGAAUUGCAGAAUUCAGUGAAUCAUCGAAUCUUUGAACGCACAUUGCGCCCUUUGGCACUCCAGGGGGCAUGCCUGUCCGAGCGUCAUCAGACCCCUCAAGCUCCGCUUGGUGUUGGGCGUUCACACCCCCUCGGGGGUGCGCCCCAAAGCCAUUGGCGGCUCAGGAUGGCUCCAGGCGUAGUGGUUUCCCGCCUCCGGAGCUCCAGCCUGAACCGGCCAGACAACAACCACCCCCCCCAUAUCGACCUCGGAUCAGGUAGGGAUACCCGCUGAACUUAA
This 527-nucleotide ribosomal RNA is filed under the name Rhizocarpon chioneum. RNAcentral's name for it is "eukaryotic LSU rRNA". The stretch from base 181 to 334 matches the Rfam family "5.8S ribosomal RNA". The record is from RNAcentral. Lineage: Eukaryota; Fungi; Ascomycota; Lecanoromycetes; Rhizocarpales; Rhizocarpaceae.